Molecule: non-coding RNA, 78 nt
Organism: Pelobates cultripes (western spadefoot toad)
Lineage: Eukaryota; Metazoa; Chordata; Amphibia; Anura; Pelobatidae
Source: the annotation of a GenBank genome assembly
CAUAAAAUCACCAAUUAUUAAGUUGCACUUAAUAAUCACCAUUAUUAAGAGUGCAACUUAAUAAUUGGUGAUUUUAUG